Molecule: unclassified non-coding RNA, 253 nt
Filed under: uncultured Lactarius
Lineage: Eukaryota; Fungi; Basidiomycota; Agaricomycetes; Russulales; Russulaceae
Description: sequence contains ITS2
Source: RNAcentral
AAAUCUCAACCUCCUCGGUUUCUUCUGGAAACCAAAGGAGGCUUGGACUUUGGAGGCCUUUGCUGGCGUCUCUCUCUUUUGAGAGCCCAGCUCCUCUUAAAUGAAUUAGCGGGGUCCUCUUUGCUGGUCCUCGACAUGUGAUAAGAUGUUUCCAUGUCUUGGUUUCUGGCUCUGUUGCUUUUGGGACCCGCUUCUAACCGUCUCGACGAGACAACGUUUGAGCACGUCUCCCGACGCUCUCAACCUCACGAAC